ACAUUUUAACAUAUUUUUGUUAUAAAAUAGAGUUCUAAAAAAUGCUUAAGCAAUACGCGUUGUGCAUUAUGUUGAAUCUUGUAGAUUUUGUCAUGUAAUAGAAGCAUAAAGGAGUUUAUUGGUCACUAUUAUAUUUAACCAUGGUCAAAGGAAAAUAUGGAAAUGCAAAUUUUGGACAAUUACCUAUUAUAAAAACACUACUAGCAUUUGAUCUAUGCAAAUCAGAAAAGCUAUUAACAACAAAUCUCAAGCAUUACUUUCUUGAUAUACUGUG
RNAcentral lists this unclassified non-coding RNA (274 nucleotides) under Hevea brasiliensis (rubber tree). The record is from RNAcentral. Lineage: Eukaryota; Viridiplantae; Streptophyta; Magnoliopsida; Malpighiales; Euphorbiaceae.